UAAACUACAAAUACAAUGGUUCA
This 23-nucleotide small nuclear RNA is filed under the name Arabidopsis thaliana (thale cress). RNAcentral describes it as "snRNA_12261". The record is from RNAcentral. Lineage: Eukaryota; Viridiplantae; Streptophyta; Magnoliopsida; Brassicales; Brassicaceae.